Molecule: ribosomal RNA, 457 nt
Filed under: uncultured bacterium
Lineage: Bacteria
Description: bacterial SSU rRNA
Rfam family: Bacterial small subunit ribosomal RNA
Source: RNAcentral
UACGGAAGGCAGCAGUGGGGAAUAUUGCACAAUGGGCGAAAGCCUGAUGCAGCUAUGCCGCGUGUAUGAAGAAGGCCUUAGGGUUGUAAAGUACUUUCAUCGGGGAGGAAAAACAAAACUAAUAAUUUUAUUUCUUGACGUUACCCGAAAAAGAAGCACCGGCUAACUCCGUGCCAGCAGCCGCGGUAAUACGGAGGGUGCUAGCGUUAAUCAGAAUUACUGGGCGUAAAGAGCACGUAGGUGGUUUUUUUAAGUCAGAUGUGAAAUCCCUGGGCUUAACCUAGGAACUGCAUUUUGAAACUGAAAUACUAGAGUAUCGUAGAGGGAGGUAGAAUUCUAGGUGUAGCGGUGAAAUGCGUAGAUAUCUGGAGGAAUACCUGUGGCAAAGCGGCCUCCUAAACGAAUACUGACACUGAGGUGCGAAAGCGUGGGGAGCAAACAGGGAUUAGAUACCCGU